This 253-nucleotide ribosomal RNA is filed under the name uncultured bacterium. RNAcentral describes it as "partial 16S ribosomal RNA". It matches the Rfam family "Bacterial small subunit ribosomal RNA", at positions 524 to 776 of the family's 1533-position model. The record is from RNAcentral.
UACAGAGGGUGCGAGCGUUAAUCGGAGUAACUGGGCGUAAAGGGCGCGUAGGCGGUGAGAUGUGUGUGAUGUGAAAGCCCCGGGCUUAACCUGGGAAGUGCAUCGCAAACUAUUUGACUAGAGUAUAUGAGAGGGUGGCGGAAUUUCCGGUGUAGCGGUGAAAUGCGUAGAGAUCGGAAGGAACGUCAAUGGCGAAGGCAGCCACCUGGCAUAAUACUGACGCUGAGGCGCGAAAGCGUGGGGAGCGAACAGG